GACGAAGCGUGCGAACGUUAUUCGGAAUCACUGGGCUUAAAGCGCGUGUAGGCGGGAGGGCACGUCCGUUGCUGAAAUCCCCCGGCUCAACCGGGGAACGGGCGCGGAUACGACCUUCCUGGAGGGGCGUAGGGGGACCUGGAACUUCCAGUGGAGCGGUGAAAUGCGUUGAGAUCGGAAGGAACGCCCGUGGCGAAAGCGAGGUCCUGGACGCCUACUGACGCUGAGACGCGAAAGCCAGGGGAGCGAACGGG
This 254-nucleotide ribosomal RNA is filed under the name uncultured bacterium. RNAcentral describes it as "partial 16S ribosomal RNA". It matches the Rfam family "Bacterial small subunit ribosomal RNA", at positions 524 to 776 of the family's 1533-position model. The record is from RNAcentral.